This is a long non-coding RNA of Oxyura jamaicensis (ruddy duck), 3368 nucleotides long. RefSeq lists it as uncharacterized. Lineage: Eukaryota; Metazoa; Chordata; Aves; Anseriformes; Anatidae. The transcript has 2 exons. The record is from RefSeq and is a predicted model, not a curated record.
UAAGUGUUACAUUCUUGUGAUCUUGACCCGAUGGUUAGUUCAAGUGAACUGAACAAUUGCUAAAACAGUGGGAUUUACGUAAAUGUGUAUAUGCACAUUAUGCUUCAUAGGUGCAUUCUAGAUAAUUCAUAUUCUUAACACAACCUAGUUCCUAAAGUAUAUUUAUGCACAUAACAAUUCCUGUCUACUCUGGGAAAUAAAGCAAUUUCUAAAGCCCCUUUUUGAAGCUGUUUCCUUUAAAAUAAUAGUUUAAAAAUUCUAAUUGCUAGUCUAGAUAGAAUUAAACCAACUCCAUACUUAGGAGUAAUUUUAUUUGACAAGUGUCUGUAAAGAUGUCUCACAGUAUGACAGCAGUGACUACUGAAGAAGGAUUUGCAUGCCUUUAAUUAGACUGUUUUUCCACUAUAAUAGUUCGUCUAAUAAGAAUUAAAAAAUAAAAUGUAAUCUGCUGCUUGUAACCCUGCCAUCUCUAACAACAGUAGUAUGUGUUUUAAAUAUAGUCCCAAUUCAUAUCUACUUUGAAUUCUUUUUUAAUAUGGUUAAUUUGGGGUAAGAAAUGGUUAAAAACAACCCAUAUAAGUGUGAUCUUCCUGCAGAAUAUAUGUGUGUUGAAACAUUUCACUGACUCUUCUUAUCUGCUGCUAACAGCCUUAUGUAAGGGUCCAUGCGAGCUCCUGACAUUUUGAGUGCUGUGUUGAUUUAGAUCAGUUUCAAGCAUGAUCAGACAUUUGAUUUUCAUCUAGCAUUGUCACUGUUUAUUCCAGGCCCUCCUGGUAUUUCUGCAUAUAUGGUAUUUUCCUUCCUCAUGGAAAAAUAGCUCUUAUCCUGUCAGGGAGGAAAGUUUAUAAUAAUUGAUGAUACAGAGGUUGGUUAGAGGCCACUUGGAAUGCUUUUAAGUCCUAAAGACUGAUUUCUCAGAAAUUGCAAUGGUUGGAUAACCAUGCCAGGACAAAGACCACAGAAAUGGUACUGCAGAUGCCAGCAGCCCUUGCUUCACUGGGCAUCUCUUUGUAGGAAUUCUGCUCGUCCACAGAUGAACAUAGUCGAAUCUCACGUGUCCUUAACUGACUUUAAAAAUAAAUAAUAAUAAUAAAAAAAUGUUAAUUGCAUCACCAUCUGGCUACUCCCAAGGGCCACACGCUCACUCUACUCAAGUGCCACAGGACUCUCCGUUGUUACAACAUUGUUACUCUGCUGUUACAAAAUGACAGUCCCUUCCUUUAGUCUUCUGUACCUUCCCUGCAGCAAGGCAAACUGCUGGCAGUUUUCCCUACUGGUGAGGAACCGAAGGAACUUGGAAGCUCUCCGUUAUUUUCUCUUCAGUUCCUUCAGAGCUCCAAUGGGAAAGGGAUGUCUCGGAGCACAAUCCUGCAGGUUUCUGAGCUGGCUCACUCUAGGGCAGGGUUGGCCUUUGGACUGGAAGUUAUGUAGCAGUAAUUAGUUCUUGAAGGCUGGGCUAUUAUCCCAAAAUAUCUGUUAUCAACUGCCUAGUGUAGGCAUCCAGGCAGGACUAGCAGAACCUGCAGAACCUCCUCAGCCUGUGACCAAUGUUGUUCAAACACAGUUCUGCAGAGUUGGUUUUCAUAAGUACUGUUAUCUUGAUCCCAGACAAACAACUAUAAAGUCACAUUUGGCUUCUUUUACUACAGCUUCUACUCAAAAGAAGUAUAGGGACUUGUGUCAAGUGACAAAUCUCUACUCAUUUUAAUUUCCCCAAAUGCAAAAAUAUUCCCCUCUACAUCAUCAGGUUACAGGUUAUCCUUAGUCUUUUUAUUGCCUUGAGGAGGCUGGUUCUUACUUUCAUGGUGAAGGUGCUGAAUCCCCGAAGAGAGCAGCUGUGUAGUGUACAAACAUCUGUAUAACUUAUUGUUAUUAUUAUUUUUGGCAAAUGGAUCUUAAGAGUUCUGCUAGUGGGAGCCAUGUUGGUGUGUCUGAACUCUUUGUCCUAUCCCUUCCUGCUUCGCUCCUUGCAAAAGCCCAGGGACUUUAGUAUGAGCAGGUUUUUGUCCCAUUGGCAACAUCACUUUAUUUUAAAGAUGGUAUUUCUGAAUCAAAGUUUAGCAGGUAGUUUUUCAAACAACCACCAAAUGAAUAAUACAUAGAAAUAGAAAGAGGCGUCUUAAGAAAUGUAGAUAAAAUUAAGCUAGCAGCUGUUAAAUAUUGCAGCAGUCAUUACAUCCAGAAGUCAUCUGCCAUCUAUCCAGGAUCCUUAUACAUUCUAUGUAUAAUGGAAAUGACAUUUGAUUUAACCUUGCCACAACAUGAUCAGUUUGUGUCUCAGCAAGCUCAGCAUUUGACACCAUCUUUUGGCUGUGACAUUUGCCUCAAUAAAAUGCAAUUAAUGAACCAGCAGUGUGUAAAGAUGUAAUUUGUAGCUCAGAUGGUAAAAAUGUCUUAAAAUCUUUAAAUAAACUGUGUAACAGAUGUAUCAGUGGAUGCUAAAACCUGAAAUUUAUUUUUUAGAACACUGUCAUAUGUCAUGUAUUCUUUUUCCUAUCUAACAGCUUGCUGGUGCAUUCAUUCAUUGAUAGAAUAUAAAGCUGGUAAAAAUAAAGCCAUGCAGGUAGACUAUUUUAUACUUAUAUAUGUUUAUGCUUGUAUAUAAACAUAAAUAUAUUUGUACUAUAUAUAUGUAGUAUAUAAGUAUGAUGCUUAAAUUUAUACUUAUGUAUAUAUAAUAUUAUGGAGGGACUAGGGAUGGAAAUAUCCUGGGCACAAGGGAUAUAUUUUUCUCCUUGGGAUGGGGUUUUGUCCCAUCUGUGAUGCAGAAAGUUGUUAAAGUAGUCAGAUUUAAAAUAAGAAAGCUUGUAGAAAAAUAGCACUUUCUUUUUCUAACAUCCUGGAGAAAGGCAUUUUGCCUUUGGUUGCAGGGGAGGCUUGGCAGGUUUCUCUGGGCAGGCAAUGGCACUAUUAUUCUCAGAUGUGACUGGAGAGGCUGCUUCCAGGCCACAUGUUAAAUGCAGCUAACUCAAGGGACGUGUCACUUGAUUAACAGAGCAGAUUCCUGUAUUAUUCCUCUCCAUCUAUCUCCUUCCUGCCUGGUCAGAUCUAUGAAAUAUGUUGGCAUCAGAUUUGGACAAUAAGAAAAAUCCCAGCCACUUUGAUUUUAAAAUAUUUCCUCAAGUUUAUGGUGGGGGAAAGUCUUCACAUUUAUCUACGAGAAAGGAUAGUUAAGAACCUGUGCUUAGAAUACUGGGGAGGGAGGAGAGGGAGUUGUAUAAAAUAGUGGAAAAUUAAAACCUAUCUUGUACAAUUUGGUCAAGUAAAUCUCUAUUUUUUCCAAUGUUAAUAAGAAAAUGUUUGGGAAGGAUCAUUGGAUGAGUUUUUGUAGGCAGAUAUGCAAAGUCUUCAUGCAAUUGGGAAAAAAA